AGGUGGUGCAUGGCUGUCGUCAGCUCGUGUCGUGAGAUGUUGGGUUAAGUCCCGCAACGAGCGCAACCCUUGUCUUAUGUUGCCAGCACGUAAUGGUGGGGACUCGUAAGAGACUGCCGGGGUCAACUCGGAGGAAGGUGGGGACGACGUCAAGUCAUCAUGCCCCUUAUGUCCAGGGCUUCACACAUGCUACAAUGGCCAGUACAGAGGGCUGCGAGACCGUGAGGUGGAGCGAAUCCCUUAAAGCUGGUCUCAGUUCGGAUCGGGGUCUGCAACUCGACCCCGUGAAGUCGGAGUCGCUAGUAAUCGCAGAUCAGCAACGCUGCGGUGAAUACGUUCCCGGGCCUU
RNAcentral lists this ribosomal RNA (348 nucleotides) under uncultured Rhodococcus sp. Its description in RNAcentral is "bacterial SSU rRNA". It matches the Rfam family "Bacterial small subunit ribosomal RNA", at positions 1036 to 1382 of the family's 1533-position model. The record is from RNAcentral. Lineage: Bacteria; Bacillati; Actinomycetota; Actinomycetes; Mycobacteriales; Nocardiaceae.